RNAcentral lists this ribosomal RNA (496 nucleotides) under uncultured bacterium. RNAcentral describes it as "partial 16S ribosomal RNA". It matches the Rfam family "Bacterial small subunit ribosomal RNA", at positions 28 to 506 of the family's 1533-position model. The record is from RNAcentral.
GAUGAACGCUGGCGGCGUGCCUAAUACAUGCAAGUCGAGCGAACAGACGAGGAGCUUGCUCCUCUGACGUUAGCGGCGGACGGGUGAGUAACACGUGGAUAACCUACCUAUAAGACUGGGAUAACUUCGGGAAACCGGAGCUAAUACCGGAUAAUAUAUUGAACCGCAUGGUUCAAUAGUGAAAGACGGUUUUGCUGUCACUUAUAGAUGGAUCCGCGCCGCAUUAGCUAGUUGGUAAGGUAACGGCUUACCAAGGCGACGAUGCGUAGCCGACCUGAGAGGGGGGCGGGCCACCCGGAAAGUGACACACGGUCCAAACCCAAACGGGAGGCAGGGGGAGGGAAUCUUCCGAAAUGGGGGAAAGCCUGAGGGAGAAACGCAGGGGGAGGGAAGAAGGUCUUCGGUUUGUAAACCUUUGUUAUUGGGGAAGAAAAAAUGUGGAAGUAACUAGGCCCGUCUUAAGGGACCCAAAUAAGAAAGCCCCGGUAAACUCGGU